GGGUCUGUAGCUCAGUUGGUUAGAGUGCGUCGUUGACAUCGACGAGGUCUGCAGUUCGAGUCUGCACAGACCCA
Molecule: transfer RNA, 74 nt
Filed under: Candidatus Moranbacteria bacterium CG23_combo_of_CG06-09_8_20_14_all_35_22
Lineage: Bacteria; Candidatus Moraniibacteriota
Description: tRNA-Val
Source: RNAcentral